UCACAAUUGCAAAGGUCGGAGA
Molecule: microRNA, 22 nt
Filed under: Zea mays
Lineage: Eukaryota; Viridiplantae; Streptophyta; Magnoliopsida; Poales; Poaceae
Description: microRNA miR-3197
Source: RNAcentral